Small nuclear RNA from Zalophus californianus (California sea lion), 111 nucleotides. NCBI's taxonomy places the organism in Eukaryota, Metazoa, Chordata, Mammalia, Carnivora, Otariidae. The record is from Ensembl.
GUGCUCACUUCUGCAGCACAUAUGCUAAAAUUGGAAUGAUACACAGAAGAUUAAUUAGCAUGGCUCCCAGGCAUGGAUGACAUGCAAAUUUGUGAAGCAUUCCAUAUUUAA